CUAGAAGUCUAUCUUCAAUCUCUAACAAGAUUCCAGAGAUUUGAAGAAAGGAUCUAGGUCAACCAAGAAGAAGGUCUUCGCAUGAGCUAACACUCCCGAGAAGACCGAUCAGAUUGGGGCUUUGAGUGGAUUUUUCAUAGAGAUCGGAUGCAUGUGCAGCUAUGAGCAACAAGCAAAGAUCCUCUCCAUUAUAUCUCUCAACAGUGAAGAUCAUCGACUUGUGAUCAGGUAUGGAGUUCUAAACUCAGAUUAGAAGUAGAUGUGAUCUACUGCUUAUAUGCAUGCAUGCUGAUUUUAUCUUCAGAUUAUUUUAGAUUUCAUAUGCAACACAAUAUGUCAUAGAUCCUAGAGUAGAUUGA
RNAcentral lists this long non-coding RNA (359 nucleotides) under Elaeis guineensis (African oil palm). RNAcentral's name for it is "long non-coding RNA (EGUI_LNC055163)". The record is from RNAcentral. Lineage: Eukaryota; Viridiplantae; Streptophyta; Magnoliopsida; Arecales; Arecaceae.